RNAcentral lists this unclassified non-coding RNA (244 nucleotides) under Hevea brasiliensis (rubber tree). The record is from RNAcentral. Lineage: Eukaryota; Viridiplantae; Streptophyta; Magnoliopsida; Malpighiales; Euphorbiaceae.
GCAACGCUCCAGGAUGUCGUCCGGUUCGAAACCGAGAAAACGCUGGAGCAGCGUUAUGACGCGCGCAGCGUCUACGAUAUUUUUACGAAGAGCGCGUCACGUCACCCUGAUCGCACUGCGCUGACCAUGCUGAUGACCGGCGCUGAUGACGAGACGGCGCGUGUUGUCACGUACAAGCAGAUGCUCGAUGGCGUAACCCGCGCGGCGAAUUUCUUCGCAAGCCUUGGCGGUCCGGGGGCGGGAG